GACGAACCGUGCGAACGUUGUUCGGAAUCACUGGGCUUAAAGGGCGCGUAGGCGGGCCGCCAGGCCCGCGGUGAAAUCCCCCGGCUCAACCGGGGAAGUGCCGCGGGGACCGGCGGUCUGGAGUGAGAUAGGGGCGUGCGGAACUGUGGGUGGAGCGGUGAAAUGCGUUGAUAUCCACAGGAACUCCGGUGGCGAAGGCGGCACGCUGGAUCUCUACUGACGCUGAGGCGCGAAAGCCAGGGGAGCGAAC
RNAcentral lists this ribosomal RNA (250 nucleotides) under uncultured bacterium. RNAcentral describes it as "partial 16S ribosomal RNA". It matches the Rfam family "Bacterial small subunit ribosomal RNA", at positions 524 to 773 of the family's 1533-position model. The record is from RNAcentral.